Molecule: long non-coding RNA, 150 nt
Organism: Bufo gargarizans (Asiatic toad)
Lineage: Eukaryota; Metazoa; Chordata; Amphibia; Anura; Bufonidae
Exons: 3
Source: RefSeq, a predicted model, not a curated record
ACUAGGAAUGCAGUGAUAUUUUGCUGAAGAAGGGGAGACAGACUGCGGCUGUAUAACACAGAAAUACAUUGAAACUGUACAGGAUUUUAAUUUCCAUCUGGUGACCACACAUGGAUUAGCCCCACAGCAAGUCAAACUAUAAAAGUGCAG